Molecule: ribosomal RNA, 256 nt
Filed under: uncultured bacterium
Lineage: Bacteria
Description: partial 16S ribosomal RNA
Rfam family: Bacterial small subunit ribosomal RNA
Source: RNAcentral
UACGUAGGGUGCGAGCGUUGUCCGGAAUUAUUGGGCGUAAAGGGCUCGUAGGCGGUUUGUCGCGUCGGGAGUGAAAACCCAGGGCUUAACUCUGGGCUUGCUUUCGAUACGGGCAGACUAGAGGUAUGCAGGGGAGAACGGAAUUCCUGGUGUAGCGGUGAAAUGCGCAGAUAUCAGGAGGAACACCGGUGGCGAAGGCGGUUCUCUGGGCAGUUACCUGACGCUGAGGACGAAACGUGUGGGGAGCGAAGCAGGA